Molecule: long non-coding RNA, 1343 nt
Organism: Oncorhynchus keta (chum salmon)
Lineage: Eukaryota; Metazoa; Chordata; Actinopteri; Salmoniformes; Salmonidae
Exons: 3
Source: RefSeq, a predicted model, not a curated record
AUAUAUUUCAAAUCAAAUCAAAUUUUAUUUGCCACCUGCGCCGAAUACAACUGGUGUAGACUUCACUGUGAAAUGCUUGAUUGCAAGCCCCUAACCAACAACGCAGUUUAAAAAUAAUGGUAACAAGAGGAAUGAAAUACACAAUGGAGCUCCAUACAGGAAGUACCAGAUCAAUGUGGAGCUCCAUACAGGAAGUACCAGAUCAAUGUGGAGCUCCAUACAGGAAGUACCAGAUCAACGUGGAGCUACAUACAGGAAGUACCAGAUCAACGUGGAGCUAUAUAAAGGAAGUACCAGAUCAACAUGGAGCUAUAUACAGGAGUACCAGAUCAAUGUGCAGAGGUACGAGCUAUUUGAGGUAGAUAUGUACAUGAAGGCAGGUUAAGUGACAAGGCGUUAUAGAUAAGAUUGAAAUGAGUGUGUUCUGUGUGUGCGGGUUUUAUUUGACCAAAACAACAUGGUUGAUUUCUUCAGGGGUCCUGGUCAGUAAGGUUGAUUUCUUCAGGGGUCCUGGCCAGUAAGGUUGAUUUCUUCAGGGGUCCUGGCCAGUAAGGUUGAUUUCUUCAGGGGUCCUGGCCAGUUAGGUUGAUUUCUUCAGGGGUCCUGGUCAGUAAGGUUGAUUUCUUCAGGGGUCCUGGUCAGUAAGGUUGAUUUCUUCAGGGGUCCUGGUCAGUAAGGUUGAUUUCUUCAGGGGUCCUGGCCAGUAAGGUUGAUUUCUUCAGGGGUCCUGGCCAGUAAGGUUGAUUUCUUCAGGGGUCCUGGUCAGUAAGGUUGAUUUCUUCAGGGGUCCUGGUCAGUAAGGUUGAUUUCUUCAGGGGUCCUGGCCAGUAAGGUUGAUUUCUUCAGGGGUCCUGGCCAGUAAGGUUGAUUUCUUCAGGGGUCCUGGCCAGUAAGGUUGAUUUCUUCAGGGGUCCUGGCCAGUAAGGUUGAUUUCUUCAGGGGUCCUGGUCAGUAAGGUUGAUUUCUUCAGGGGUCCUGGUCAGUAAGGUUGAUUUCUUCAGGGGUCCUGGCCAGUAAGGUUGAUUUCUUCAGGGGUCCUGGCCAGUAAGGUUGAUUUCUUCAGGGGUCCUGGUCAGUAAGGUUGAUUUCUUCAGGGGUCCUGGCCAGUAAGGUUGAUUUCUUCAGGGGUCCUGGUCAGUAAGGUUGAUUUCUUCAGGGGUCCUGGCCAGUAAGGUUGAUUUCUUCAGGGGUCCUGGUCAGUAAGGUUGAUUUCUUCAGGGGUCCUGGCCAGUAAGGUUGAUUUCUUCAGGGGUCCUGGCCAGUAAGGUUGAUUUCUUCAGGGAUCCUGGCCAGUAAGGUUGUUGAGAAUGUAGGGCUGAUGGUGUGAUAAGAGGACUACUCUA